AGUGAACGCUGGCGGCAGGCCUAACACAUGCAAGUCGAACGGCAGCAUAGUAAGAGUUUGCUCUUACGGGUGGCGACUGGCGGAUGGGUAACGCGUACAUCGGAUUCCACUUUUUCGUGGGGGAUAACGUAGGGCCACUUCCGCUAAUACCGCAUAUAUCCUACGGGUUAAAGCAGGGGAUCUUGGGACCUUGCGUGAUUGUAUGAGCCGAUGUCGGAUUAGCUAGUUGGCGGGGUAAAGGCCUACCAAGGCAACGAUCCGUAGCUGGCCUGAGAGGAUGAUCAGCCACACUGGAACUGAGACACGGUCCAGACUCCUACGGGAGGCAGCAGCAGGGAAUAUUGCGCAAUGGGCGCAAGCCUGAUCCAGCCAUACCGCGUGAGUGAAGAAGGCCUUCGGGUUGUAAAGCCCUUUUGUUAGGAAAGAAAAACAGCGUGUGAAAACACGGCCGUUCUGACGGUACCCAAAGAGAAAGCACCGGCUAACUUCGUG
RNAcentral lists this ribosomal RNA (492 nucleotides) under uncultured bacterium. RNAcentral's name for it is "partial 16S ribosomal RNA". It matches the Rfam family "Bacterial small subunit ribosomal RNA", at positions 29 to 507 of the family's 1533-position model. The record is from RNAcentral.